GGCAGUAAAAGUCGUAACAAGGUUUCCGUAGGUGAACCUGCGGAAGGAUCAUUAUUGUAUAACCGAGGUGCGAGGGCUGUCGCUGACCCGAAAGGUCGUGCACGCCCGAGUGCCCUCACACACAUCCAUCUCACCCCUAUGUGCACCACCGCGUGGGUCCCCCUUUGGCUUGUUCGGAGGGGGGCUUACGUUUUCACACAAACUUUGUAUGCAGUGUAGAAUGUAUUUUUUGUUUUUGCGAUCACGCAAUCAAUACAACUUACAACAACGGAUCUCUUGGCUCUC
Molecule: unclassified non-coding RNA, 285 nt
Filed under: plant metagenome
Description: partial contains small subunit ribosomal RNA and internal transcribed spacer 1
Rfam family: Eukaryotic small subunit ribosomal RNA (bases 1-54)
Source: RNAcentral